RNAcentral lists this long non-coding RNA (3634 nucleotides) under Capra hircus (goat). RNAcentral describes it as "lncRNA (ENSCHIG00010013147.1)". The record is from RNAcentral. Lineage: Eukaryota; Metazoa; Chordata; Mammalia; Artiodactyla; Bovidae.
AUGCUGACCAUCCAUCCUCUACUGCCCUGGGCCCAUACACUGUGCAAGCUCACGGGCAGACUCUCCGGGGCAGGAGAGACAGAUGGUAAAGGAGGGGGCGCACCACGGGCUGGCCUGCGCACCCGGGACUGGCCUUCUGGAAUCUCGUGGCUUUCUCAGAGGCAGCCCUGCUCAGCCCCGCUGGGAGGGAAGACGCAUCUGGCGCCUGCCUGGUGGUCUCCUCCGCAGCCUGGGUACAGGGUUCAGCCUCACGGAGGGCUCAGGUCCGGGCUGGGAGGAGCAGCGAGCCCUUGCUUUCCUCAGCAGGGCUUGGGAACCUGCACGCUCCUCACUGCCAUCAAACACGACGCGCUUUCCCAAACUGGACGACUAGAAUCGAAGUCUCCUGCUGUGUUAUAUCCAGCCCCCACCACCCACCCUCAGCUCUGGUCUUAGAACUAUGUGAGGAGCUAAAAAAAAACAAAAAAAAAGGAGGAGGAGGAGGAGGAAAAGUAUAUGAGGAGGGUGUUACAGUCAGGGGUGGGUAUCGAUGAAAAUUUAUGUGCUGAAAAACAGCUGUGAAAUGUUUAAUGUUUCAAUGAACGUUUUAUGUUUAUAAUAAAAAAGAAAAAAAAUCCUCUGGCCAAGAAGGCCCUUAAAAUGUUUCAUUUCUAAGUAGAUCCAAGAAAAAGAGGCAAAGGGAAAAGAUUUCCACCAAACCUUCUCUGGGGAGGGACCCCCCUCCAAAAGGGAACAUGGAAAGGAGGCGCCCCCAUAUCAUGCAUUGCCACACCUGGCUUGGCUGCACGUGAGCAGGGAGGAAAGGCCAGGACACCCAGGCAUGAGAAGCAUGCUCGUUUUUCUCAAAGCCAAGUACCGUGGAGCAAAGCCUUGGAGACUCAGGCUCUGCAAGUGGGUGGUGGAGGGACUUGGGGGGCGGGAAAUGCCCAGUUCAGCCAAAGCUGGCUAGGAAAUCUGACUGCAAUCCAUCAAUCCCCUGACAGGACAUGACCGAGUGCCAUUAGGGCGGGUUCUUCCAGAAGAGCCUAGCUCUGAGGACCCUGGCUUUGAUGGAGAGACACAGGUUCAAGUCCAAACGCUGCUCUGGACCGGCUUGGUCUCCUUAGGUGAGCUCUUCAGCCCCUUGAGAUCCUGGUUUCCUGAUCAACAGAGUGGCAACAAGCACCUCGGGUGCUGGGGGUUGGGUGGUAUGCGCUGCGAGCAGGCAGGUGUUUGGGACACCAGCGUGGGGAGGGAAUUGGACAGCGGCAAGCUGUGAGCACUGUGGCGGCAGUGGGUAAGAAUUAAGUCUGGACGUGGCGGGAAACUGCGGGCUGUUAAGGCUUUGAGAAAAACGUGAGUUUUGUUCUUCUUUGCUUAACUGAUGAUUUUGGUCAAAUGGGCUUUCAAGGUCAAGAAGCCCGCUUCACCUUUUAGCUCCUUAGGAAUUCCUGUUUCCACUUUGUCUUCGGGUACUAGACGCAGGCUGGAGCCCACAGCCGCUCUCCAAGCUGGCCCCUUCUUGCCUCCUCUGCACGCAACGCUCGUGCAGCCGCUCCAACACAUCAAUAAAAUCCCGCGACCCUGCGCAGCACCUCGGACACACCCUGCGGCGCCGAGACUGAGUUUUGCUGUUGUUGUUCCGUCUCUAAGUUGCGUCCGCCUCUCGGCCCUGGGGACUGCAGCACGCCUGGGUCCCCUGUGUUCCACUGUCUCGUGGUGUUUGCUCCAAUUUGCGUCCACGGCGUCGGUGAUGCUAUCUAACCAUUUAAAGCCGUGAGCUUUAGAAUUCCUCUUUCCUUCCACUUCCCCAUACCGCUUCUCCAUUUAGCAAACUCCUACUCAGACCUCAAAGCCCAGCUGAAGCAUCACCUUCUCCUCGGUGUCAGAUGCCCCUGGCACAGUGCUCUGAAAGCACACACAGCUCUUCCAGGCCCCGAUGCCCAUCAUGUUGCCUCAGAAACACUGGGUGCUCUUCUGAUUUCUCUUCUAAACAAUGCUUCUUGAGGGUAGUGGAGACGUAAACACCUUGGUAACCCUGGUGUGUAGGCCAGGGGUGACGUGGGGUAGAUUCCCCUGGAAGAACUUGCUGGUGAAUGGAGAAACGGAUGGUGGAAAACACCACUUCCUUUCUGUCAUGACAGGAGAUGGGACUUCUGGCCUCCUUCUCAACUCGCCACCUUGCCCUCAGAGAGAGGAAGGCACCUGUGCCAUCCUGGGCAGGAAGCGUGGCUCUCCUCUGCCAGCCUGCACCUUGCCCUGGGAAUAGGAAAGAACUGGGGGUUGACUUGCCAUGUAGCUUAGCAAAGAAGUUGCUGAGACCACUGUGGUACUGAUGCUCAAGGGCCUCCUCCAGGGAGGAAGGCGGUGCUCCAGGGAGGAAGGCGGGUGCUCCAGGGAGGAAGGCGGUGCUCCAGGGAGGAAAGAUGCUCCCUUCAGGGGUUGGAUCAGUGUACUUCCUGCUCAAGUACAGCUGUGGGCAGUAUGUGUUGGGGGUGGCGAUCAUGCUCGGGAGAUACUAGUGAGGUCCCUCCCAUCCUCCCAGAGGCCUGGACCCUCUCUGGACGCCCAGGAAGUGGCCAGUGCCCAACUGGAUGCUGCUGCCCAGCUCUUACCAGGAACCACGACAGUCACAUCAAUGGGUACUGACUGGACAAUUUCCAAUGAAUCCCCACAGAGUUUCGCAAGAACGCCAGCUACCAAAGAGGUGAAGGGUGGAAACUCACACAACCGACCAAAGUGAAAACAAAACUGCGUCCCCCAACCCCAUGUGAACCGAAACCACAGCACAGGGUGCUGUGCCUGUGCAGACACAAACAGCCUAACCCCGCGUGAGUCACCGCUGCAGCCAGAACAACGCGAGCGGGGGAGGGCCCGGCGCGAGGGAGCCCUGCCCAGCAUGUGAGGGGCCCUCUGAGCCCCCACCCCCUGCAGGCCCGUCUCCACUGGAAGAGCAGGGAAGAGGACACUCGUGGGGCACCUGCCACAGUCCGUAAGCUCUGGCCAGUACUGGGGACGCAAACAUGGACGGGUUUUUACAAGCACCCUGUUAUCUGGAGACAAACCAUUAGGCCCGUAUCCACACGAGGGCACAGAGCCCAGGGUGUUUAAACAACUGGACCAGCCAGAGCUGGAAACUGCAUCCUUCCCUCCACCAGGCUUCACCUGAGGUCACGCCGGAAACCUGGAUCAGUCAUACAGGUGGGAGUGUUUCCUCUCAGUGGUCUCCAGGCUGCUUUGAUCAUGCACCACUAGCAGUACAAUUAAAUUCUGGACAUACCCCCAAGAACUGUACAUUCAUAUAUGGGAUAAGAUUGAAAAAACGUAAACAGAAGCUGCAGUGUUUUCCCCCCAUAGCUUACUGUGGCGGCCAUAGGGCUCCCAGACUGAAAAACACAGGCUGGGGACUUCCCUCGUGGCCUGGUGGUUAAGACUCUGCUUUUCUACUGCACGGGGUGUGAGUCUGAUUUCUGGUUGGGGACCUAAGAUCCCUGCAUUCCACAUGAGCAAAAGGAAAAGAAAAACAAAACAACAGGUUGCCCAGUUACAUGUGAGAUACAGUUUCAAUUUAGAAAAAAAAUCAGUCAUUGUUUCUCUGAGAUUCUGGUUUAGAUGGGCAUCCUGUAUUUGUAUUUGCUAAAUUCGGCAACCCUAA